AUGUCUGCCUCGUCGUCCUCCUCUCUCCCUGUGCCAGCCGAUUUCCCUCUUGAUCUCAUCAGGUGUCCCUUCUGCGGCGCGGAUCUGGAAACCAAUGUAGCAAGAACCGGGAGCAAGGCGGGGCAGCGGUUCUACAAGUGUGUCCGCUAUGAUACGGCCUACGUCAGAAGGAUGACUCCGUACCAGAUCGCCCGUGCUCAGCAGCAAGCGGGGGUGCUCCAGGUCCAGAUGCAGGCAAACCCGGCCGGCAUCGUCGCUCCACCUGCAAACCAGGCUCAGGUCCAGGCGAACCAGGGUCAGAAUCACCCUCUAGCGACGCCGGAGACCGUUUUGGUGAACCAGAUCUUCAGGCCCAUCGCAGCUGCUGCUUCUGGUUCUCAGGCGCUGGGGGCAACAGCUUUCAUCCUUGCCGCUAGCAACAUCAUGCUCACUCUGCUGCUUCUGUUGUUCGUUGUGGCCAUCUAUUUUGGCGGCGGAUGA
Molecule: ribosomal RNA, 480 nt
Filed under: Triticum aestivum (bread wheat)
Lineage: Eukaryota; Viridiplantae; Streptophyta; Magnoliopsida; Poales; Poaceae
Description: partial small subunit ribosomal RNA
Source: RNAcentral